GGUCCUCUCGGGCAUCCAACCCUAUUGAAAGUUCAAGCCUCUACUCGGGAUGGCUAGCCUUCUGCUUUAAGCAUAGCUACAAAACACUAUCGAGCCAUGGCUUGGUUGCCUCUUAUUUGUCCUACUCCCUUCUCGAUAGAAAACUUCACCAUCAAAUGAUAGCUCGACACUACGGCUUUUAAAGUCCACAAGCUCGGAUGGCUAAGGAUUGCAUUGUAGGC
Molecule: long non-coding RNA, 221 nt
Filed under: Elaeis guineensis (African oil palm)
Lineage: Eukaryota; Viridiplantae; Streptophyta; Magnoliopsida; Arecales; Arecaceae
Description: long non-coding RNA (EGUI_LNC004692)
Source: RNAcentral